RNAcentral lists this non-coding RNA (24 nucleotides) under Mus musculus (house mouse). The record is from RNAcentral. Lineage: Eukaryota; Metazoa; Chordata; Mammalia; Rodentia; Muridae.
UGCAGAUGGGCUGGAAGGGGGUGU